This 925-nucleotide ribosomal RNA is filed under the name uncultured bacterium. Its description in RNAcentral is "bacterial SSU rRNA". It matches the Rfam family "Bacterial small subunit ribosomal RNA", at positions 475 to 1399 of the family's 1533-position model. The record is from RNAcentral.
UUACCCGCAGAAGAAGCACCGGCUAACUCCGUGCCAGCAGCCGCGGUAAUACAGAGGGUGCAAGCGUUAAUCGGAAUUACUGGGCGUAAAGCGCACGCAGGCGCUUCCGUUAAGUCAGAUGUGAAAUCCCCGGGCUCAACCUGGGAACUGCAUCUGAUACUGGCAAGCUUGAGUCUCGUAGAGGGGGGUAGAAUUCCAGGUGUAGCGGUGAAAUGCGUAGAGAUCUGGAGGAAUACCGGUGGCGAAGGCGGCCCCCUGGACGAAGACUGACGCUCAGGUGCGAAAGCGUGGGGAGCAAACAGGAUUAGAUACCCUGGUAGUCCACGCCGUAAACGAUGUCGACUGGGAGGUUGUGCCCUUGAGGCGUGGCUUCCGGAGCUAACGCGUUAAGUCGACCGCCUGGGGAGUACGGCCGCAAGGUUAAAACUCAAAUGAAUUGACGGGGGCCCGCACAAGCGGUGGAGCAUGUGGUAUAAUUCGAUGCAACGCGAAGAACCUUACCUGGUCUUGACAUCCACGGAAGUUUUCAGAGAUGAGAAUGUGCCUUCGGGAACCGUGAGACAGGUGCUGCAUGGCUGUCGUCAGCUCGUGUUGUGAAAUGUUGGGUUAAGUCCCGCAACGAGCGCAACCCUUAUCCUUUGUUGCCAGCGGUCCGGCCGGGAACUCAAAGGAGACUGCCAGUGAUAAACUGGAGGAAGGUGGGGAUGACGUCAAGUCAUCAUGGCCCUUACGACCAGGGCUACACACGUGCUACAAUGGCGCAUACAAAGAGAAGCGACCUCGCGAGAGCAAGCGGACCUCAUAAAGUGCGUCGUAGUCCGGAUUGGAGUCUGCAACUCGACUCCAUGAAGUCGGAAUCGCUAGUAAUCGUGGAUCAGAAUGCCACGGUGAAUACGUUCCCGGGCCUUGCACUCACCGCCCGUCA